RNAcentral lists this ribosomal RNA (669 nucleotides) under Salmonella enterica. RNAcentral's name for it is "bacterial SSU rRNA". It matches the Rfam family "Bacterial small subunit ribosomal RNA", at positions 874 to 1533 of the family's 1533-position model. RNAcentral also lists the same sequence under 2 other names. The record is from RNAcentral. Lineage: Bacteria; Pseudomonadati; Pseudomonadota; Gammaproteobacteria; Enterobacterales; Enterobacteriaceae.
UGGGGAGUACGGCCGCAAGGUUAAAACUCAAAUGAAUUGACGGGGGCCCGCACAAGCGGUGGAGCAUGUGGUUUAAUUCGAUGCAACGCGAAGAACCUUACCUGGUCUUGACAUCCACAGAAGAAUCCAGAGAUGGAUUUGUGCCUUCGGGAACUGUGAGACAGGUGCUGCAUGGCUGUCGUCAGCUCGUGUUGUGAAAUGUUGGGUUAAGUCCCGCAACGAGCGCAACCCUUAUCCUUUGUUGCCAGCGGUCCGGCCGGGAACUCAAAGGAGACUGCCAGUGAUAAACUGGAGGAAGGUGGGGAUGACGUCAAGUCAUCAUGGCCCUUACGACCAGGGCUACACACGUGCUACAAUGGCGCAUACAAAGAGAAGCGACCUCGCGAGAGCAAGCGGACCUCAUAAAGUGCGUCGUAGUCCGGAUUGGAGUCUGCAACUCGACUCCAUGAAGUCGGAAUCGCUAGUAAUCGUGGAUCAGAAUGCCACGGUGAAUACGUUCCCGGGCCUUGUACACACCGCCCGUCACACCAUGGGAGUGGGUUGCAAAAGAAGUAGGUAGCUUAACCUUCGGGAGGGCGCUUACCACUUUGUGAUUCAUGACUGGGGUGAAGUCGUAACAAGGUAACCGUAGGGGAACCUGCGGUUGGAUCACCUCCUUACCUUAAAGAA